GACGAACGCUGGCGGCGUGCUUAACACAUGCAAGUCGAACGAUGAUGCCCAGCUUGCUGGGUGGAUUAGUGGCGAACGGGUGAGUAACACGUGAGUAACCUGCCCCUGACUCUGGGAUAAGCGUUGGAAACGACGUCUAAUACUGGAUAUGACUGCCGGCCGCAUGGUCUGGUGGUGGAAAGAUUGUUGGGUUGGGGAUGGACUCGCGGCCUAUCAGCUUGUUGGUGAGGUAAUGGCUCACCAAGGCGACGACGGGUAGCCGGCCUGAGAGGGUGACCGGCCACACUGGGACUGAGACACGGCCCAGACUCCUACGGGAGGCAGCAGUGGGGAAUAUUGCACAAUGGGCGAAAGCCUGAUGCAGCAACGCCGCGUGAGGGAUGACGGCCUUCGGGUUGUAAACCUCUUUUAGUAGGGAAGAAGCGAAAGUGACGGUACCUGCAGAAAAAGCACUGGCUAACUACGUGCCAGCAGCCGCAGUAA
Molecule: ribosomal RNA, 483 nt
Filed under: uncultured bacterium
Lineage: Bacteria
Description: partial 16S ribosomal RNA
Rfam family: Bacterial small subunit ribosomal RNA
Source: RNAcentral